Long non-coding RNA from Miniopterus natalensis, 689 nucleotides. RefSeq lists it as uncharacterized. The record is from RefSeq and is a predicted model, not a curated record. Lineage: Eukaryota; Metazoa; Chordata; Mammalia; Chiroptera; Miniopteridae.
AGGGACUGAGCAGCGGAAACACCACCGCCCUCCGGCCAAACUCGUGAGGACUGAUUGCGGGGGAACUGCUGCUCCAGAUGUUGCACUAGAGGCGCUGCAAGUGUGAGCAGGUGGCAGUGGACCUACACCACAGGUUGUAGCCGAUGUUCUCAACAUUUCUAUUGAAAUUUCCUUAUCACCACUUGCAAGAGGUGCCCCAGAACCUCAUCCUUGUGGUAGCGAGCACGAUGUGCUGUUUUCUGUGACUACUGGUAACACUCAUCCUGCAGAUAUAAGCUGUUGUUCACCAGGGAACUUUGGCAAGAGAAUUGGCUAGAUCAGCAAGUCCACUUCCAUGUGGAAAAACACUUGAAACUCAUCUCUGCUGAUGGGUAUAAACAAAUCUCAAGGUCACAGACUGGUAGGACUGUUGCUCACUGAAGUCAGUUGGAAGGCCUGCCUGUAGGGAGAGGAUCCUUACACUACAGGAUUAAUGGGAAAAACAUGAACUUUACUAUGAAUUUCUCAUAAAAUUUUGAUUUACAAUUUACUUUCUCAAGAUUCAUUUUGAAUUACAGAGAUCAUCUUCUACUGUAACCUCCUACAGAAGGAUUUCAAAAUGAAUGCACUGUCUGUAGGGCAGGGGUGGGAUGAAUACCUGCUUCUCUAAGUACCUGCUUCAAGUCAUCUUUCACAUUUUCUUCCUGGAA